UUGCAGUUAAAAAGCUCGUAGUCGGAUUUCAGUAUGUGAAUUGCAGCUCUACACGAGUAUGCACUUCAGUACUUCUUUGACAGAAACUUUCAUCUCAUUUAUUUGAGGUGUUUUGGGACUGUCUCUUUUACUUUGAGAAAAUUAGAGUGUUCAAAGCGGGUUUUCGCCAGAAUAUUACUCUUGGAAUAAUACUAUAGGACUCCGGUUCUUUUUUGUUGGUGAUUUAGGACCGGAGUAAUGAUUGAUAGGGACAGUUGGGGUCAUUCGUACUGCAAAGCGAGUGGUGAAAUACUUGGACCUUUGUAUGACGAACUACUGCGAAAGCAUUUGACUAGGAUGUUCCCGUUGAUCAAGAACGAAAGUUGGGGGAUCGAAGACGAUCAGAUAUCGUCGUAGUCUCAACCAUAAACUAUGCCAGCUAGGGAUUGGAGGGUGUUAUUCUAAAGACCCCUUCAGCACCUUAUGAGAAAUCAAAGCAUUUGGGUUCCGGGGGGAGUAUGGUCGCAAGGCUGAAACUUAAAAGGAAUUGACGGGAGGGCACCACCAGGAGUAGAGCCUGCGGCUUAAUUUGAUUCAACACGGGGAAAACUUACCAGGUCCGGACAUGGGAAGGAUUGACAGAUUGAAAGCUCUUUCUUGAUCCUAUGGGUUGGUGGUGC
This 659-nucleotide ribosomal RNA is filed under the name uncultured marine eukaryote. Its description in RNAcentral is "bacterial SSU rRNA". It matches the Rfam family "Eukaryotic small subunit ribosomal RNA", at positions 613 to 1283 of the family's 1831-position model. The record is from RNAcentral.